AAUUUGUGCUGCGGACAUUUGUGAAUUAACAUCUUGAAACAUUCCCACUCCUUAUAAAAACUUUCUCCCCCAAUUUGUCUAAAGACAAAAAUCUCUCAUCUUAGUU
Molecule: small nucleolar RNA, 106 nt
Filed under: Gossypium barbadense (sea-island cotton)
Lineage: Eukaryota; Viridiplantae; Streptophyta; Magnoliopsida; Malvales; Malvaceae
Also listed under: 1 other name
Description: Plant small nucleolar RNA R71
Rfam family: Plant small nucleolar RNA R71
About the family: R71 is a member of the C/D box family of snoRNAs containing the C (UGAUGA) and D (CUGA) box motifs. Multiple nearly identical copies of this snoRNA have been identified in Arabidopsis, and it is thought to function as a 2'-O-ribose methylation guide for 18S ribosomal RNA.
Source: Rfam by way of RNAcentral